CCUACGGGUGGCAGCAGUGAGGAAUAUUGGUCAAUGGGCGGAAGCCUGAACCAGCCAAGUAGCGUGCGGGAUGAAGGCCCUACGGGUCGUAAACCGCUUUUGUACGGGAACAAAACCCUCCACUUGUGGCCGUCUGCAGGUACCGUGCGAAUAAGGGCCGGCUAAUUCCGUGCCAGCAGCCGCGGUAAUACGGAGGACCCGAGCGUUAUCCGGAUUCAUUGGGCUUAAAGGGGGCGUAGGCGGGUGUUCAAGUCAGCGGUAAAAUCGCGGGGCUCAACCGCGCCCCGCAGUUGAAACUGGGGGCCUAGAGUGCACGAGAGGCAGGCGGAAUGCGUGGUGUAGCGGUGAAAUGCAUAGAUAUCACGAGGAACCCCGAUUGCGAAGGCAGGCUGCCGGGG
RNAcentral lists this ribosomal RNA (398 nucleotides) under uncultured bacterium. RNAcentral's name for it is "partial 16S ribosomal RNA". It matches the Rfam family "Bacterial small subunit ribosomal RNA", at positions 338 to 734 of the family's 1533-position model. The record is from RNAcentral.